Molecule: transfer RNA, 97 nt
Filed under: Methanomassiliicoccales archaeon
Lineage: Archaea; Methanobacteriati; Thermoplasmatota; Thermoplasmata; Methanomassiliicoccales
Description: tRNA-Arg
Rfam family: tRNA
About the family: Transfer RNA (tRNA) molecules are approximately 80 nucleotides in length. Their secondary structure includes four short double-helical elements and three loops (D, anti-codon, and T loops).
Source: RNAcentral
GGGCUCGUAGCUUAGACUGGAUAUAGCGCUGGCCUUCUAAGCCAGAGGUCCCGGGUUCGAAACCCUAUCCACUAGGGCGAACAUCCCGGCGGGCCCG